This 252-nucleotide unclassified non-coding RNA is filed under the name uncultured Candidatus Peribacteria bacterium. Its description in RNAcentral is "contains 16S-23S intergenic spacer region". It matches the Rfam family "Bacterial small subunit ribosomal RNA", at positions 524 to 776 of the family's 1533-position model. The record is from RNAcentral. Lineage: Bacteria; Candidatus Peregrinibacteriota; Candidatus Peribacteria.
UACGGAUGGUGCAAGCGUUACUCGGAAUUACUGGGCGUAAAGCGUCCGCAGGCGUUUUCCCAAGUCUGUUGUUAAAGUUCGGAGCUCAACUCCGUGAUGUAACGGAAACUAGGAAAAUAGAGUCAUACAGAGGCAACUGGAAUUACGUGUGUAGGGGUAAAAUCCGUUGAUCCACGUAGGAACGCCAAAAGUGAAAACAGGUUGCUGGGUAUGUACUGACGCUCAUGGACGAAAGCGUGGGGAGCGAAGGGG